Long non-coding RNA from Orcinus orca (killer whale), 5206 nucleotides. RefSeq lists it as uncharacterized. The record is from RefSeq and is a predicted model, not a curated record. The transcript is spliced from 4 exons. Lineage: Eukaryota; Metazoa; Chordata; Mammalia; Artiodactyla; Delphinidae.
AUCUGAAGCAUGACAUCUGAGGCUGACAGCUUUCCCAAGAUUUCCGUACCAGGCCUGUAUACCUUUCUUUCAAUAAUCUUUUUUAACUUAUUUUCUCACUCCCUUCCAUGGAAGGACAAGGCCCUUGUCCAUAUUUCCCAGUCCCUUCUGAAAGAGGGAAACCUCUCCAAUUGCUGGAUCUGCCGUUGGAAACCUCAGUCCAUCCAAGAUAGCAAUGACCCUUUGGUUCACUCUGUCCAACAUUCCAAUGACCCUUUGGUUCACCCUAGAAGUAAUUUCGCUGGGGUUUCAGAGGCUGUUAUCUGUCCAGAUUGUUCUGUGGUCGCAUUUUAUAGAGUCAGUGCCUGCCUAAACUUAUUCCUUGCUUCAACUUGACCCAAUCCUGGAAUGGGAAAACAAGAUCUUUUGAAUAUUUAUAUGAAAGGUUCUCCAGAGUUGGCAAUGCAAGUUGGAUUAUUUGUAAACUUGCUGACAUAUCUGUACAUCUAGGUAACCUCUCAGAGUAUAACAACAUAAUGUCUAAGCCUUGGUUAAGUAAUGUUAAUCCCUCUAUGCCAGUGAAUGGAUCCAUAGGUACUAUCCCUUAUGCAGGCAUCUUAUGUACCCCCGCUGGUUAUACCUUCACAUGUGGAAGUCUGGGGAGUGGUCUUUAUGCUUGGGCAACCCAUUGCCUUGAUAGCUAGAGAAUACAAGGACAAUGUGCCUCUGUUGUAUUCACUGUCUUAUUCUCCCUACAUAACUGAACAGAAGCCUCUCAUUGGUCUGUACCAUUAAGCCUCUAUAACUGCCUUAAGUGAGAACUUCUGGGAGGUGUACAUAAUUCUGGCUUUGUCUCCACAGGGAGAGCUUUCUUCCAUGGAUUGGAGUGAGUGCCAAUGAACAAACGAUCAAGAGCCUCUCCCUGAUAUUAGGAAAGUUAGCUUACUCUGUAGCCAACACAGUUUCAGCUCAGCAAUGAUCCUUGCUAAGUCAUUGGCUAAAGUGGUUUUAGAUACCCACAUAGCCCUUGAUAACCUAUCUGCUGAGCAAGGAGGGGUCUGUGCAACAGCAAACACCUCUUGUUGCACUUGGAUAAAAGCCUCUGAGAUAGUAGAGACCCAAUUACAUAAAAUUAAAGAGCAAACACACUGGUUACAGCAACUUUUACCAGACAACCUACUGUCUUUUGAUUUAUUCACCUGGCUACCUUCUGGUCUGGGUUCCCAGUUUAGAACCAUCUUGCAAACUGGGUUUAUUAUGUUGUUUUAAAUUCUGCUGUCUAUACUUGUUAAGUUCUGCAUCUAUUGCUUGUCAAGCCUUUGUAAAAAUGACAUGCCUAAUAAGGUGAUGCUAGCUCAUCGCUUUGAGAUAAUUUCUAACAUUUACAACCUUGAUUUAAAAUGGACUUUUAAUAAAAACCUCCUGAGAGUUCUCCCUACUACUUUCCUUGUUACUCAGAUGCAGGCUAAUGAGGUUUCUGACUUGUGUACUUUCCCUUUGAUAUGGGACAUGAUACUAGGGAAGGUCCUUCCUGGCACGAAGGACCUUCCUGGUCCUUCCUUCACUACUUGCGGAGGUCCUGACUCAGUCAGCAAUCCUGAGAGGAAAGAUCUUGACCAAAAGGAGGAAAUGUAGAAUUAAUUAAAGAAACUUCAGCUAAAAUUGGAGUUGGAACAGGCCUGUACGGUGAGCUCUCACUCUCAACCAUGCAUCAUAAAUUACUCCAAACAGGAAGAGAUGUACAGCUACAUCUCUGACAGGAAAGUGCUGACUACUUUACUACCCAGCAGGCAGAAGAAAACUUCUCUCUGCCCAACAGCCCAGUCAAUCAGAGGCUAUAGCAGCCCAACCAAUGAGAAGCUUCUAACUUUGUACUCCCAGCUUUCUCCAAUGGACUCUUUGGUUAUACAGCCCAUCCCAGCUCCCCCUUUUCCCUAUAAAAGCAAGAUUCCCUUCCUUGUUCUCUGGACUUGCCUAUGGUCUGCCAUAGUUCUCAUAUCCCAAAUUGCAAUUCCUCUUUCAAUUCCCAAGUAAACUUGCUUUUGCUGGUAAAAUAACUGGCCAUUAUGUUAUUAAAGUUGACAAGGUAUAGCAGAACAAACAAAGGACUAGGAGCAAGGAGACCUAGAUAAUAAUUCUAACCCUACAGCUGAACUGUUUGUAAUUUUGUUCAAUUCAUUUACCCUCCCUUGGCCUUGUUUACUUGUCUGACAGGUGAAGAUACUUAUCAAGAUGAUCUUUUCAUUCCCUCUGAGCUCUAAAAUUCUUUAGACCAUGUGAGGUACAAGGGUUCUAAAUCCCUGUGCUAUGGAAUGUGAAGUACCUUAUGAAAUGUUCCCUUCAUUCUAUCCCCACUGCCAGUAUAAUAAUUCUAACACAUAAUAGGUAUUUAAAAAGUGUUUGUUAAUCAGCAUUUACCUCAUUGAAUAGUCAUAAUAAUCCUCCAAGGUAAAUAGUAUUCUUCUCCUUGUGCAUUUAAGAUGAUCUUAUAGAGGUUGAAUUUAUAUGCCUGAUAAGUAAACGAAUACCAUGGUCUGUCUGCUCCAAAGUCAAGACACACUUUCUGACACAUAGGCAAAUUAACUUCAAUGCAGAAUGUCUGUUACAAUUCUUAGCAACAGGAUCAACUUUAAUCUAAAAGCAAAACUAGAACAUAUCUGUAAUAUUAUGAAUUAUGGAAAAUAUUUAGUCAAAUGACUUUUUAUAAGAGACAGUAAUAGGCAUGGGGUUGUUCAUUGAAAAAUUAGUACUCUGGUCCUUCCCUCUGAAAGACUUUCAGAUUAGUUGGGAGACAUGUAGUAUAUAUGUGAACAAUGAGAAACGUAUAUAAAGCAUGUUACAAAACUGUGCAAGAUUAUAGGGCAAAUACUGAUUGUUGUCCCUGAACUCUUCACCCUUUGCAGAUGUCAGUGAUUAGACAUCUUGGAUGAUCUCCGAUCAAACUGCUUUCACUAAAAGAGAAGAUAAUAUUUACAUUGUAUUAAAAACCAGAUUAAGUAAUUCUGGUAUUUCUGUUCCAAUCGGACGGGUGACCUUACAAACUCCCUCCUUUACCAUAAGCAAGAUUGCUCCUUUAGUAUGUGUUAAUAUUUAGGUCUUUCCUUUGGUUCCUAGACCCAUCUUUGUCCAAGACAAUGUCUUGGUUCCCCUCUUUAUUCCAAAUUCUGUAACUUAAAGCUUAUUUCACCCCAUUCCAGCUCCAAGCAAAAAAUUUAAUUACCUAGGUAAGCCCUACCCCAGUGUCACACAGUAGGGAAUUGAUUCCCUCCUAGCAGGGAAAGGCUUAAGGUGGCAUCACAAUACUGAAUUCUUCUGUGGAGGGCACGAAUGUUCCCAAAACAAUAAGUCCAAAUAGCUUUUCCUAAACUGCUUUCAAUACAACUAAAUUAUUGAAAAGAAUGUUUUCAGGCAAAUUCCUCAAUAUUGAAUGCUUUCAGUUAAAAUACAGAUUGUGUAUAAAAAUUGUAUACAAAUUCUUCCUUAAGCUAGAUUUUAAAUGACUUCAAGCAAAUUACCGUAUACACGGAAUUCUACAUUCACUAAAUUUUAUUCAUAGCUGCUCACCUGUUUACAUACAUAGACAUCCACAAACACAUUGCCUUCUCCACGUGGUUGGGAGUUACUGUAGAUUAGAGGGCUUAUUAAGGGGGACUGCUUCUAGAAGUGCUGUCAAGGAAACUUUGACUGUAAUUUCAAUGAAAAGCACUUCCAUUUCCAAGAGUCCAUCUUUAACCAAAAUGUAAAAAAUGUAGUCAAACCCUUCUGCUUACUCAGGGUCUUCACCUUGACUCCCAUGUCUGAAUAAAAUGACUCCACUGCAAGGUAUAUUUUAGUCUUAUCUGUUUGGUGUCCUCUCUUUUGUGGAGUAUUUUAUAAGCUUGAUUAUAUAUAUUUAGUUUGUUCUUAUGUUAGGAUUUUAUAUUCUUUUUUUAACUUCCCACAUGGCACAAACCUUACCAGGAGUAUUGGAUGUCCAUGCCAAUGUCCUAGAGAGCCGAACCGACUUCUCACAGAUCUACAGUAAAUGGGAUAGACUGCUUUUUUCCAUAGUGGCAACUGGCACCAACCCUCUCUUCACUAGUUCUUGACCUUCGUAGAAGAAAGCAACAUUCCCUUGUCUGGAGACACUUGAAAAAAAUCUUACCUGAGGCAGGUUCUUCUCAAUGUUACGCUUAUCUUCUUCAAGGUCUGAUCUGCUUUCCCUCAUUGCCUUCAGACCGAUGACUGUAGUAAGAGCUCAGCUAGUCCCAGAGCAGAAAUACAGUUCUUGCUUUGGGAGGGAGUAGUCUACAUGCCAAAGAAGUUUCAGGACCUGGUGAGUAUGAAUAUUUCAGGAGAACACAUGUAUAGGGAUCUUGAGGAUACUGGAUCUGGGAUGGUGGUGGCAGGUGGGGAUAUAAAGCUGCGUGGAGUAUAGUUUAUUGACACGGGAGCACUCCUCCAUGACUUAGAGCUCAAGGUUCUGGCAACGACACAAGGAGCCCAUCUAACAAGCUGCUAAGAUGGAUCUUUGAAGCUUGUGCACGAUAAGAGCCUACUAUGAAUGAGGUGGAGAUGCUGGAACUGCCUCGGCAAAGUACUGAGGAAAGAAGCCAAAGAUUCAAAGAGACCCAAAGCCCACUCAUUGAAGGAGAGGUGGAUCCCCUUGAGGAAAGACAGUGCAAUGCUACUGCAAGUACAUAUGGUGCAUGACAGUGAAAGGAAUGUUGACCGAUGGCAGAGGAUGGGUGGCAGUGGCUGCCCAUCAGGUGCGUGGAGUACAGACCAUUUCCUUACGUUAUAUUUCACGGAGUCAUUCAUCAACACUGUCUAAAGACGAUCCACCUUUUCACUGUUUUACCUCCUCCAGUGAUUCUUUCAACUGAGGUCUGGGUAGAUGACAGCAGGAGCAGUUAAGAAUUGGCCUGGAGCCACCAAUGUUUAAAUGAGGCUUUAAGACUGAGCUCCUUGAAAGCAAAAUCUCUGGCUUCUUUUAUCUCUGUCUCCCUUGGAGCCCAGCACCAAGUAGUCAUCCGAAACUUUGAAAAUACAGCCUCUUGGAUGGAAUGGAACCAAAAGGCAGGGAUGCUUGGAGUGAAAAGGAAACAAGCCCCUGGUCUGGACUCAGCCACUCUGACAUUGUGACCACCAGCAACUUACUUAAAUGUUCUGGACAUCAGUAUUCUUAGUUGAAAAAUGGAACUCAUCAUGCCAGUUUUUGAGAAUAAAAAUAUUUUUUUGUGUCUCU